Molecule: long non-coding RNA, 205 nt
Filed under: Elaeis guineensis (African oil palm)
Lineage: Eukaryota; Viridiplantae; Streptophyta; Magnoliopsida; Arecales; Arecaceae
Description: long non-coding RNA (EGUI_LNC019742)
Source: RNAcentral
GAACCAAUUUAGGCUGCAACAUAUUGCUACCACAAUCACUUCUUUGACAUCAAAUACAUGGAUAAGAAUCUACCAAAAAAAAUAAAAAAAACACAUGGAUAAGAAGAAAUCCAAGGUUCAAAGGAAAUGGAGAAGGAAAUGAAAUUCCAAUAGAGUCUAAAUUAAGAAUAGAUUACUAUUGAACAUGGAUAAUUAUGAUUGAGAG